CACGUAGGGCGCAAGCGUUGUCCGGAAUUAUUGGGCGUAAAGAGCUCGUAGGCGGUCUGUUGCGUCCGCUGUGAAAACUCGGGGCUUAACCCCGAGCCUGCAGUGGAUACGGGCAGACUAGAGGUAGGUAGGGGAGAAUGGAAUUCCCGGUGUAGCGGUGAAAUGCGCGGAUAUCGGGAGGAACACCGGUGGCGAAGGCGGUUCUCUGGGCCUUACCUGACGCUGAGGAGCGAAAGCGUGGGGAGCGAACAGG
This 253-nucleotide ribosomal RNA is filed under the name uncultured bacterium. RNAcentral's name for it is "partial 16S ribosomal RNA". It matches the Rfam family "Bacterial small subunit ribosomal RNA", at positions 524 to 776 of the family's 1533-position model. The record is from RNAcentral.